This 46-nucleotide non-coding RNA is filed under the name Schistosoma mansoni. The record is from RNAcentral. Lineage: Eukaryota; Metazoa; Platyhelminthes; Trematoda; Strigeidida; Schistosomatidae.
GCACCUCUGGUGAGUCCAACAAUAGGACGAAACGGCCGUCCAGUGC